This is a non-coding RNA of Plutella xylostella (diamondback moth), 118 nucleotides long. The record is from RefSeq and is a predicted model, not a curated record. NCBI's taxonomy places the organism in Eukaryota, Metazoa, Arthropoda, Insecta, Lepidoptera, Plutellidae.
AGAGUCCUGGAGAGAAGCGCGUGUAUUUAUUGUGACGCCACUGAGUUACCGGCGACAUACGUAUAACAUUUCAGACUCAAUGGCGUAAACAGCGGCUGAAAAACAACGGCUUUAUAGG